AGUGAACGCUGGCGGUAGGCCUAACACAUGCAAGUCGAACGGCAGCACAGGAGAGCUUGCUCUCUGGGUGGCGAGUGGCGGACGGGUGAGGAAUACAUCGGAAUCUACUCUGUCGUGGGGGAUAACGUAGGGAGACUUACGCUAAUACCGCAUACGACCUACGGGUGAAAGCAGGGGACCUUCGGGCCUUGCGCGAUUGAAUGAGCCGAUGUCGGAUUAGCUAGUUGGCGGGGUAAAGGCCCACCAAGGCGACGAUCCGUAGCUGGGCUGAGAGGAUGAUCAGCCACACUGGAACUGAGACACGGUCCAGACUCCUACGGGAGGCAGCAGUGGGGAAUAUUGGACAAUGGGCGCAAGCCUGAUCCAGCCAUACCGCGUGGGUGAAGAAGGCCUUCGGGUUGUAAAGCCCUUUUGUUGGGAAAGGAAUCCAGCUGGCUAAUACCCGGUUGGGAUGACGGUACCCAAAGAAUAAGCACCGGCUAACUUCGUGCCAGCCGCCGCGGUAA
This 506-nucleotide ribosomal RNA is filed under the name uncultured bacterium. Its description in RNAcentral is "partial 16S ribosomal RNA". It matches the Rfam family "Bacterial small subunit ribosomal RNA", at positions 29 to 523 of the family's 1533-position model. The record is from RNAcentral.